GACGAACGCUGGCGGCGUGCUUAACACAUGCAAGUCGAACGGAAAGGCCCUGCUUUUGUGGGGUGCUCGAGUGGCGAACGGGUGAGUAACACGUGAGUAACCUGCCCUUGACUUUGGGAUAACUUCAGGAAACUGGGGCUAAUACCGGAUAGGAGCUCCUGCUGCAUGGUGGGGGUUGGAAAGUUUCGGCGGUUGGGGAUGGACUCGCGGCUUAUCAGCUCGUUGGUGGGUAGUGGCUUACCAAGGCUUUGACGGGUAGCCGGCCUGGGAGGGUGACCGGCCACAUUGGGACUGAGAGACGGCCCAGACUCCUACGGGAGGCAGCAGUGGGGAAUAUUGCACAAUGGGCGGAAGCCUGAUGCAGCAACGCCGCGUGCGGGAUGACGGCCUUCGGGUUGUAAACCGCUUUCGCCUGUGACGAAGCGUGAGUGACGGUAAUGGGUAAAGAAGCACCGGCUAACUACGUG
Molecule: ribosomal RNA, 467 nt
Filed under: uncultured bacterium
Lineage: Bacteria
Description: partial 16S ribosomal RNA
Rfam family: Bacterial small subunit ribosomal RNA
Source: RNAcentral